UCGGGUGUAGUGCACGGCGCACUGCUGCUGGAAAUUAUUGCUUCAUUUGAGUGGAGCAGCGAGACGGGGUUCGACUCCCCGCACCCGAA
Molecule: non-coding RNA, 89 nt
Organism: Mycena vulgaris
Lineage: Eukaryota; Fungi; Basidiomycota; Agaricomycetes; Agaricales; Mycenaceae
Source: the annotation of a GenBank genome assembly